AUACGGAGGGUGCGAGCGUUAAUCGGAAUUACUGGGCGUAAAGCGUGCGUAGGCGGUUGAUUUAGUCAGAUGUGAAAGCCCAGGGCUUAACCUUGGAACUGCAUUUGAAACUGGUCAACUGGAGUACGGUAGAGGGUGGUAGAAUUUCCUGUGUAGCGGUGAAAUGCGUAGAUAUAGGAAGGAAUACCGAUGGCGAAGGCAGCCACCUGGACCAAUACUGACGCUGAGGUGCGAAAGCGUGGGGAGCAAACAGGAUUAGAAACCCCGGUAGUCC
This 274-nucleotide ribosomal RNA is filed under the name uncultured bacterium. RNAcentral describes it as "partial 16S ribosomal RNA". It matches the Rfam family "Bacterial small subunit ribosomal RNA", at positions 523 to 796 of the family's 1533-position model. The record is from RNAcentral.